GACGAACGCUGGCGGCGUGCUUAACACAUGCAAGUCGAACGGUAAGGCCCUUCGGGGUACACGAGUGGCGAACGGGUGAGUAACACGUGGGUGAUCUGCCCUGCACUUCGGGAUAAGCCUGGGAAACUGGGUCUAAUACCGGAUAGGACCCUGGGAUGCAUGUCCUGGGGUGGAAAGCUUUUGCGGUGUGGGAUGGGCCCGCGGCCUGUCAGCUUGUGGGUGGGGUGUUGGCCUACCAAGGCGACGACGGGUUGCCUGCCUGAGAGGGUGACCGGCCACACUGGGACUGAGAUACGGCCCAGACUCCUACGGGAGGCAGCAGUGGGGAAUAUUGCACAAUGGGCGCAAGCCUGAUGCAGCGACGCCGCGUGAGGGAUGACGGCCUUCGGGUUGCAAACCUCUUUCAGCACCGACGAAGCGCAAGUGACGGUAGGUGCAGAAGAAGGACCGGCCAACUACGUGCCAGCCGCCGCGGUAA
Molecule: ribosomal RNA, 478 nt
Filed under: uncultured bacterium
Lineage: Bacteria
Description: partial 16S ribosomal RNA
Rfam family: Bacterial small subunit ribosomal RNA
Source: RNAcentral